UCGGCCAAUGCCUUUAUUGGGGACCAGAGUAUGACCCAGCAUCUUGCAUCUACAAGCCAAGUGUCUUUACAGGAGCCAGAAGAGCAAAGGACACACACAGAGGAGAAGGCGACUUGAAGAUGGAGGCGGAAAACGAAAUGAUGCAUCUACAAGCCAAGGAACAUCAACGAUUGCCAGCAGCCACUGGAAGGAAGCCUGAAGAGAGGCACAGAACAGCUUGCAGAUGGAACCAAUCCUAUUGACAUCUUAACUGGAUUUCUGGCCUCCAAACUGUUGAGAGAGUAAAUUUCUCUUCUUUGAAGCCACCAAGUUUGUGGUAAUUUGUUACAGCAGCCCUGGGAAACUAAUACAGAUAUUUUACACAUGCUUCUCCAUAACUGAGAGAACAAGUGGAGGGAGAAAAAAAGUCUGUUCUAAACCACAUUUUCCUAAAUGACAUUUCUAGAAAAUGAAACAAAAUAACUGUACAGUCUUUUCAAGUGCAUAUGUAACAUUUUACCAAAAUCAUCCAUAUUCUGGGCCAUAAACCAUGUCUCAAAUGAUUGAAUUAAUGAAAGAAUGAUAACUAGAAGAUCUCCAAAUAUUUAGAAAUUAAGCAAUGCCCUUCUAAAUAGCCUAUGGGUCAAAGAAGACAUCAAAAGGUAAAUUAGAAAACUUUUAUGUACAAUGAUAAUAAAAAUAUAAAGAUUGUGGGAAGUAAAAUAGUUUUAGAGAAAAAUGUAUAGGUUAAAUGUAUAUAUUAGAAAAAUAAAGGUUGAAAACAAAUUAUCUAAUCAAUAUCAAGAAUUUAGGAGUGGAGGAGUACACAAAGCUUAAAGAAAGUAGAAGAAAAUAAGCAGAAAUCAGUAAAAGAGAAAAUAGUCACACUUUAAAGAAAAAACAAGAAAGUUAAAAGUAGUUUAUAUGAAAAGCUUAGUAAACUUGAUAAAGCCCCAGUAAAACUAAUUAAGGAAAAAGAAGCAAAAAGAUAUUACCAAUAUCAGAAAUUAAUUAGCAUAGGAGUACCACUACAGAAUUUACAGACAUCCAAAGGAUUUCUGAGGAUAUAAUAAAUAGCAUUAUGCUAAUAACCUAGAAAAUUUAAAUAAAAUGAGUAAAUUCCUUGAAAAAUAUAACUUACCCAAACUAAUUCAAUACGAUAUAAAAUAAUACUUUUAUAGCUAUUAAAGAAAUUGAAUCACUAAUUUAAAACCUAACAACAACAACAACAAACCCUCAGGUCCAGAUUGCUUCAUUGCUGAAUUCUUCCAAACAUAUAAGGAAAAAUAAUAUUAAUGUUACACAAAUUAUUCCGGAGACUAGAAAAAAAUAAACAAUUUUUAACACAUUUUACUAGCCCAACAUAAUCUUGAUGCCCAAACCUGAUAAGGACAUUAAAAUAAAACCAAAUUAUAACCAAAGAUCUCUUGAGAACAUAAAUGCAAAUUUUCUAAACAAAAUAUUAUGAAACUGAAUCCAGCAAUAUUUCCAAAGGAUGAUACAAUGAUCAAAGUGAGGUUUACCUUGACUGAUUUUAAAUAUUAAAUCAAUGUUACAACGUUACAAUAAAAAUAUGAGCAAUCCUGCACACACACACCACACACACACUCACACACAUUUCAUAGAUAGGAUAAUCAUCUAUAACACAUCACAAGCAACAUAGGUUGAUUCUAGGAAUUCAGAGUUUGUUUGCCCUUUAAAGAUCAAUCAAUGUAAUAUAUUACAUUAACAGAGUGAAAAAGAAACAUGAUAAUCUCAAUACAUGCAGAGUGAUCAAUUAGAAUGAACAUUCAUGAUAAAUCUUUUAGCAAUCAGAAGUAAAGGGGAGUUUCCUUAAUCUAAUAAAGGAUAUCAUACAAAAAUCUACAGCAUACAUCAUGAUUUGUGAUAACCAUUAAAAGGCUUGUAUCAUCUCUUCUAUUCAAUGUUGUACUGGAGGUUCUAGCCAAUGCAAUAAAGCAGAUGAAAUAAACAAAAGACAUAAGAAAGGAAAAGAUUUAAAAACUUUGUCAGAUUCAUAGAUGACAUAAUUAUGCAGCAACUUCAAAAGAUAUACAGAAAAACUAUUCAAUUUAAAAGUAAAUUUAAUAAAAUUGCUGGAGCUGAGGUGAAACCAGUGCAUAUCUAAGAAGUAAAUAGAGAAUAAAAUUUUAAAAAUAAUAUGUAGUAAUAAAGAUAAUGAAAGAUGUACAUGACUUCUAUAAGGUAAAUUAACAAAUAUUUUUAAAAGAAAUUAAAGAAGACUUCAAAAAUGGGAGGAUAUAUCAUGUUCAUAAAUUUAAACUUCAAAACUAAAUUUGUUAAUGUCUACAAAUUGAUGUACUAAGUCAAUAGAAACUCAAUACAAAUUCAAGUAGGAUUCUUUUUGUGGAAAUUGACAAGCUGAUUCUAAAUUUUAUAUGGUAAUGCAAAGUGCCAAGAAUCACCAAGUAAAUCUUGAAGAUGCACAUAGUUAGAAGAUAUAUGCCACCAGAUAUCAAAUAUUAAUGUCAUGCUAUAGUAAUUAAAAUCUUAAUGUAAUGCUACAGUUUUUUUUGCCAUUAUAGUAUGGCAAAAAACUAAACCAAACAAAAACACAAUGUAUGGCAAAUAAACCAGUGGAACAGAACCUCCCUGGAAUGACAUCCACAUAUAGGUCACCUGACUUAUGGCCAUGGUGCAACAUUUAAUAAAUGAUAUUAGAUCAAUUGCCUAUCCAUAAGAAACAGGGUCUCACUCUGUCACCUGGACUGGAGUGCAGUGGUACCAUCAUAACCCACUGAAGCCUUGAACCCCUGUGCUCAAGGGAUCCUCCCACCUCAGGCUCCCAAGUAGCUGGGACUUACAGGCAUGUGCCACUGAGCCCAGCUAAUUUUAUUUUAUUUUUUGUAGAGACAGGGUCUCGCUUUGUUGCCCAGGCUGGUCUCGAACUCCUGGCUUCAAGCAAUCCUCCUGCCUUGGCCUCCCAAAGUGCUAGGAUUAUAGACGUGAGCCACCUCACCUGGCCCAAUUGCCUAAGUAGAAUAGAAAAAGCAGUAACUGGAAAAAAAGACCCAUAAAUUGAAUAUUAUUAAAAUGUAGAACUUACUACAACAGAAGACAUCAUUAAGAAGGGAAAAAGAAAAAGAAAAGCCAUAGCCUGAAAGACAACAUUUGUGUUACAUUUAUUAGAAAACAAGAGAAUAUUUAAACAACUUCUACAAAACAAUAAAAUCAUAGACAAACCAGUAAAUAACAGACAAAAGUUUGGAAUAGGCCCUUCACAAACAUAUGAAAAGGUACUCAAGAUCAUCAGUGAAAUACAAUAUAAUAAUAAAAAAACUGACCAUCCUUCAUGCAGCAACAAAAGUGACUUCCAAAUAUAACACUGAGCAGAAGCCGGACACAGAAGAGUACCUAUUUUUUGAUUCCUUUAUAAAAUUUAGGAAGCAGCAAAACUAUUAGUGUUAUAAAUCAGAAUAGCGGUUACUUUGGGAAGAUAACUGGGAAAGGGCAUCAGGAAGGCUUCUGGGGUGCUGAUAAUGUUCUAUAUCUUAAUCUGAGUGCCACUUACAUGGGUGCAUUUAAUUUGUAAAUAUCUACUGAACUGCAUAAUUAAGAUGUGUGCACUUUACUACAUAUAUAUGUUAUACUUCAGCAAAAAGUCUACAUGGUACAAGAAAAUUGUUGGAAUAAAAAAAGACCUCCCAACAAAGUAAACUCCAGGCUAUAUGGCUUUUCCAGUGAAUUCUUUUAAACAUUUAAAGAAGAAAUAAUACCAAUUUUAUAUAAACUCUUACAAGGAAGCAAAUAUAUGAAACACUACCAGCUGGCUUUAUAAGACUGUCAUAAGUUUGAUAUCAAAAUCUUAUGAGGACAUUACAAGAAAGAAAAUUACAGUCUAAUCUCUAAAACAGGAAUGGGAUGAUGAAAGUGUUCCGGAAUUAAUUGGCGGUGCUGGUUGCCCAAUGUCUUAGUCUAUUUGGGCUGUUAUAACAAAAUACUAUAAACUGGUUAGCUCAUACACAACAAAAAUUUAUUUCUCAUAGUUGUGGAGGCUAAGGAGUUCAGGACCAACCUCUCUGGCAGAUUCAGCAUUUCUUCCCAUGGCAGGAGGGGCAAAGGAGCUCUUCUGGGCCUCUUUUAUUAGGACGCUAAUCCCAUUCGUGACAGCUCUGCUCUCAUGAUCUCAUCACCUUCCAAAGGCCUCACUCCCUAAUGUCAUCACCUUAGGGGUAAAGAUUUCAACAUAUGGAUUUGGGGUGGACUCAAACAUUCAGACCGUAAUAUACAACUUUAUGAAUAUACUAAAUACCACUGAAUUGUGUAAUUUGAAAAGGUAACUUUUAUGAUACAUGAAUUAUACUUUAAUAGAAACAUAUAAAAUGUAUUAUAAAAGGGUAUUUGUUAUAUAUAAAAAUGAUUAAGUAUUGACUUAGUUGAUUUUAAGAAUGUAAAAUUGAAAUUCAAAAUUAUUUGCCUUUCAAAAAUGUACUCAAAACAGUUUGUUACAUUAACAGAAAAAAGAGAAACAGAUAUGAUUACAUCGAUACAUAUAACUAAAGUGCUCGAUAAACUUCAACAUGUUUCAAAGACAAAAAAUUUUUAAUAAUGAAGAGUAUAUGAGAAUGUCCUUAAUUCAAAAAUGGUUACCUACAAAAAGCCUACUGUAAACACCAGGUUAAUGGUGAAAUGUUUUAAUCCUUCCCUUUGAGAUGUGGAACAAGACAAGGAUGACAUCUAUUGCUACCAAUGUUCAAUGUUAUACUGGUGGUCCUAGCCGUGUGGUAAAGAAGAAAGAAAAUAAGGAGAAGGAAAGGAGGGAAGGAGGGAAGGAGGGAAGGAAGGAAGGAAGGAAGGAAGGAAGGAAGGAAGGAAGGAAGGGAGGGAGGAAGGGAGGGAGGGAGGGAGGAAGGAAGGAAAGGAGGGAGGAAGGGAGGGAGAAAGGAAGGAAGCAAGCAAAGAAGGAAGGCAAGCAGGCAGGCAGAAGGGAAGGAGGGAAGGAAAGAAAAGAAGACAAAGAGUUAAAUAAAAUUAUAAUUAUCUGGUGGUUUUGUACAGUGUCAACCAGGCCAAUUUGGAAUUAAGUUUUCCAGACUUACUUUCUCUGUACGGUUCUGGACUAGGGUUACAGCAUGAGAAAUUAGCCUGAUAUUUGAGAGGCAGAGGUUAAGCAACAGCCAUUCCACUCUGAAAGUCACAUCCUUGGAUAGAGCUGGUGAGGCACAUGCAGGAGUGGAGGGUUCAGAAGACAGACCUUUUACUGGAGGCUUGAGAAAAACAUUCACACGGGGAGUUUCAGCAUCCUCUGCGAUGGCUCAUUCUCUGUAGGCCAGGAAUGACAGUGGGAACUGUUGCCAUUGAACUGGGUUCUCUGAAUUCACUUGGGGACCAAAGGAGCUCAGGGUGACAGAGUCCAAUUGGCAGCACUUAAUUGCCAGAGACAAUUGUAAUGGCUAUUAGAACUGAAACAGCAAUCAGAAUGAUUUGACUGAAGAGAACAUUGUUAUUGGGCUAAUUGAUCAUGGAGUCUCUAAAACCGAAGUAGAGGGAUAGCCGACUAAGGUGUUAUUUGAUUUGUAUAAGCAUAAGAGAUUUAGGUCAAGUGAAUUGAAGUCUGACUUGAAUUAUUGCAAAAGAAGUUCAUUGUUCAUCAACAAUUCCUAGACUUGAAUAGUUUAUAGACCCAGAGCAGCACCAACGGAUGGGAGACUGGAUUCUCUUGAGGAAGCACCAUGCUACGCAGUCAAAAGCAUGUAUUGUAAAUCUUCCCCUAGCCUUCUCCAAGAAGACUUACAGCCAUUUACCAGGAUUUGGAUAUAGAGAGUUUACAGAACUAGAAACAGAGAUAAAAAUAUAGAUAUAGGUAUAGGUGUAUUAUUAUAUUGUUUGUUUUUUCUAUUUUACUAAUUUUUUUUAAUAUUUCCAAGAAAAUUCCUAUUCCAAUUCCAUGUUAUCUUAUUACAGAUUUCAAAUAAGAUGGAAGGUUUCCCAAUUUGUUUUACAAAAUAGCAAAACUGUUUCUUAAAGUGGAUAAACAGCAAUAAAUGUGUGACCAAUGUCAUUUGUAAAUUUAGAUUCUGAAGCUCGUAAACUUUCUAGUAAAAGUAACAACAUUUUUAAAUACCAAGAAGAAAAGUAAAGAAGUCCCCAAGUUAUCCAAAGAGAAGAGUAAGACAAAGAUGUUAUACACUGCAUUUCUCUCAGCCUCAGCCUGGCCCUCACUACAUAGGUGUAUUUUUUUUUAAUAAAAUGAGAUCUUGCCAUAUAUGCCGUUCAUCUGAUUCUUUUUCCACAUAAAACACAUCUCUUUCUAGUCAUUAAGUGCUUCUUUAUGCUAUCAUUUUUUAUGGCUGAAUACCAUGCCAGUGUAUGGAUAUACUUAUUUUCAUUCUGCAUAGCUAUUUCAUGUUUCUUAGGGAAUUCUUUGUAAUGGUCAUUUGAACACAUCUUUUUCCUACUAGUAGAUUAUUUCCAAACCAUAGUUUAAAAUAUUUAGGUUACUCUAACAUUUUAACUAAUAUAAAUAAUGCUGCAAUGAAAAGUUUAUACCAAACUGCUUUAAAAAGUGUGUGAUUAUUUCCUAAGUAUAAAUUCUAAGAAGUAGGUUAAAAUACAUGCCCACUUCUGAGGUUUAUAGUGCAUGGGGCCUUUCAAGAGGAUGUGUUGAUCUCGUGGUACAUGAGAGUCCAGGUUCUUCCACAGCUUCGCUAACCUUGAAGAGUAUCAAUUUUUAAAAUCUUUACUGAUUUGCCAAGCAGGAUGAUUAUUAUACUGGAGGUGGUAGAACCAACAUAAUUUCAAGUUUAUUGAAGUAAAAUCAAGUUUGAAGCCUUUUACGUAUUUAGGCCCCUAGAAUUAGAAAAGACACAUCCCAGGAUAAGAAAGAACUUAAAGAAAGAGUUGCCAGGAACCCCAUAGGAAUAUCUGAGAACAUUAUGGCUGUCUUCAGCCAUGUGAAGUACAGAUUGCACAGAAGGAAUUCGGUUAAGAUUUUU
Molecule: long non-coding RNA, 6935 nt
Filed under: Homo sapiens (human)
Lineage: Eukaryota; Metazoa; Chordata; Mammalia; Primates; Hominidae
Description: HSALNT0020806
Source: RNAcentral